RNAcentral lists this long non-coding RNA (1143 nucleotides) under Heterocephalus glaber (naked mole-rat). RNAcentral describes it as "lncRNA (ENSHGLG00000038040.1)". Lineage: Eukaryota; Metazoa; Chordata; Mammalia; Rodentia; Bathyergidae. The record is from RNAcentral.
AAAAAACUCAAAAAGACCCAAUCCAAAAAUGAACCCUCAGAAGCCUACUUGGAUAGCUGUGGCUAAUUAUCUUUGGAUUCUCAGUCCUGCCUGUAAGGCCAAACUGAUACUUUUGUAGUCAUUAUGACUUAAUGGAACUUUUUUUAUAUGGUUGCCUAGAAACCACUUUUUCAAGCCAAACGCCCUCCAAAACACACACAGCUUUCUCUUAGGGGAAGAUGCAGUUUUAAAUCUGGGCCAAAGACCUCAGGUGAAAAAGGUGACGGAUCCACAGGGAGAAAUCCAUAUUGAAUCAGAGGUUCUUGUAGAAGCAGGAGAAGGAGUAGGUUACGCAGAGCCGGUUCUCAGCUUAGAUGUGGGGUCUGAAGUUAAAGCCGCACAUACGCCUUGGCAUCCGUGUCCAGGAGAGGCGGUGAAGGAGACGUCAGCAGGGGACCUGCUCUUCCGGCUCUAGUUCCAGAAUCCUGCCAAAAUGAAGUUUCGAAGGCAAAUGGGGUUUCUGGUUUCUACAGCAACCUCUUAUGAUUCCUGAAUAGAAAGAACGUUUAAUCCUCUCCUCACCGCUGGGAUUUCCCAGACUAAAUCAACGGUCCUUCGGGACAGCAAUAAAGUCAGCAAAAGCAAUUAUCCUCAGACAAGCAGACGGGCAGACUCUUGUCACUGCUCAUCCUGCAAUUCCAUGAGAAGGAUGAAGCCGAGGAUUUGUGUCUGAACGAAACUGCCCUUCCAUAACUCCAGGGCCCUGCCUCUCACAGCACCCAACUGGGUAAAGCCAAGAGCACCAUCUUUUGUUUUUUCAGCAAAUGACAGCUGUGCAUGGGAUUUGGAGCCAAGGUCUCACAGGGAUUUAGAAGUUCAGCAGGUGCAGUACUAUCAAAAGGUCUGCAUUUCUGAACACUGGCUCAUUCAAACGCCAGAGAUGAUGCAGCCAUUUUAAUUUUUCUAAAAGAAGCUUCUCAGGAACACAGGACCAUAGGACAAGAACAACUCUUCCUCCUCCUCCUCCUCCUCCUUCUUUGGCAAGAUAGAGGAAGAUGGAAAAAUAUAAGGCCAGUGUGUAAUCUGACACUCCACAGAAAAUGCAACAUCCUGAACCAGAUAAAACAAUUUUGUUAUGACCUGCAAGAUUCAUAUUAAAUAAAC